RNAcentral lists this unclassified non-coding RNA (464 nucleotides) under Ascomycota cf. Hypocreomycetidae OTU_020. Its description in RNAcentral is "sequence contains ITS1, 5.8S rRNA gene and ITS2". The stretch from base 154 to 307 matches the Rfam family "5.8S ribosomal RNA". The record is from RNAcentral. Lineage: Eukaryota; Fungi; Ascomycota.
UCGAGUUUACAACUCCCAAACCCCUGUGAACCAUACCAUCGUUGCUUCGGCGGGAUCGUCCCGGCGCCUCUGGCCCGGACCCAGGCGCCCGCCGGAGACCCAAACUCUUGACUUUUAGAGAUUUCUUCUGAGUAACACAAGUAAAUAAAUUAAAACUUUUAACAACGGAUCUCUUGGUUCUGGCAUCGAUGAAGAACGCAGCGAAAUGCGAUAAGUAAUGUGAAUUGCAGACUUCAGUGAAUCAUCGAAUCUUUGAACGCACAUUGCGCCCGCUAGUAUUCUGGCGGGCAUGCCUGUUCGAGCGUCAUUUCAACCCUCAAGCCUUGCUUGGUGUUGGGGACCGGCCGCGACUUAACCGCCGCGGCCGCCCCCGAAAUACAGUGGCGGUCUCGCUGCAGCCUCCCUUGCGUAGUAGCACACCUCGCACCGGAGCGCAGCGCGGCCACGCCGUUAAACCCCCAACU